RNAcentral lists this ribosomal RNA (450 nucleotides) under uncultured Glomeromycotina. Its description in RNAcentral is "SSU rRNA". It matches the Rfam family "Eukaryotic small subunit ribosomal RNA", at positions 569 to 1023 of the family's 1831-position model. The record is from RNAcentral. Lineage: Eukaryota; Fungi; Glomeromycota.
AGCAGCCGCGGUAAUUCCAGCUCCAAUAGCGUAUAUUAAAGUUGUUGCAGUUAAAAAGCUCGUAGUUGAAUUUCGGGGUUAGUAGGUUGGUCAUGCCUCUGGUAUGUACUGGUCUCACUGAUUCCUCCUUCCUUAUGAACCGUAAUGCUAUUAAUUUGGUGUUGCGGGGAAUUUGGACUGUUACUUUGAAAAAAUUAGAGUGUUUAAAGCAAGCUAACGCUUGAAUACAUUAGCAUGGAAUAAUGAAAUAGGACGUUCGAUCUUAUUUUGUUGGUUUCUAGGAUUGACGUAAUGAUUAAUAGGGAUAGUUGGGGGCAUUAGUAUUCAAUUGUCAGAGGUGAAAUUCUUGGAUUUAUUGAAGACUAACUACUGCGAAAGCAUUUGCCAAGGAUGUUUUCACUAAUCAAGAACGAAAGUUAGGGGAUCGAAGACGAUCAGAUACCGUCGUAG